UCAGUGAGAAAAUGAGACAAACUGUCACGUUUCCUGGAAAAGCCACUCCCUCUUGAGUUUCAGGCCUAGUGUCAGCUGCUCACGGCCACCUCAUAGACCUGGAUCCGGCUCUCCGGGCUGCUGCCCGAUGCAACUGCUGGCGAAAGUGUGGGCCAGGGAAUGGGACUGUUUUCCAUCCUGUGGGGCUGGGUGCUCACGGCUACCGUGAGUACAGAUGCCACUGCAAGCCUGGUGGAGCAAAGGCCCCGCUGGGUCCUGGUAGCUCGUGGGCAGGCUGAAACCCUGCACUGCAUCCUGAGAGAUUCCCAGUACCCUUGGAUGAGCUGGUACCAACAGGAUCUCCAGGGGCAACUGCAGGUGCUGGCCACUCUGCGGAGCCCCGGGGACGAGGAGCUCGUAUCCCGUCCUGGAGCAGAUUACCGGGUCACGAGGGUCAACAGCACGGAGCUGAGGCUGCACGUGGCCAAUGUGACCCAGAGCAGAACCCUGUACUGCACCUGCAGUAAAGACACAGUGAUAAACUCCCCUUGGACAAGUGAAUACAAACCAUCCUGGUUUGCCAGCCACAGACCCAACCUCCUCCUCCUCUGA
Molecule: non-coding RNA, 591 nt
Organism: Canis lupus familiaris (dog)
Lineage: Eukaryota; Metazoa; Chordata; Mammalia; Carnivora; Canidae
Source: the annotation of a RefSeq genome assembly